CCAAAGGCCAGUGCCCACACGACGAGAGGCUCCUCUCCUCAUCUAGAGCCCCAACAGACCUACACCCUAGCAAGGGAUCGGGCAAGAAACGUGAGAGAACAGGAAAUGCUUUCCCCUUUCACAAAAAGCUGAGGAGUCAGGAGGCAAGUCUUGUCACAGCAACAGGGCAAGAACUGAGAAAGAGAACAGGGAUUGUUCUGCAGAAGAACUGGUCACCGGGCUGUGACAUGAGCAGAAGUCUGUGGCAAAACUGAUUGCUGAACCUUGUCUGCCGAUACCUCCCAAACACAUGUAACCACGAGAACAUCUUCAUUCUGGAGCCAGCAUUGUUCCCUCUUUUUCCAGCAUUUCACAAGCCUUAAUGUUCCUAGCGUGUCUGGAAAGUAGAAACAACAAUGCUGCGACAAUGCUGGAGUUAGUUUCACUUGAUUUCCCAACAGCAAUCUUAUCCUGAGUUGUUUACAUCACUCUGCCUUGGCCCUCAAGGUUACUUAUUUCAGGAGGUUAAUGCUGCCCUGUUGAAACAGGUCGAUGAAAUGAGCCA
Long non-coding RNA from Vidua chalybeata, 544 nucleotides. RefSeq lists it as uncharacterized. The transcript is spliced from 3 exons. NCBI's taxonomy places the organism in Eukaryota, Metazoa, Chordata, Aves, Passeriformes, Viduidae. The record is from RefSeq and is a predicted model, not a curated record.